This is a long non-coding RNA of Tribolium castaneum (red flour beetle), 1825 nucleotides long. RefSeq lists it as uncharacterized. NCBI's taxonomy places the organism in Eukaryota, Metazoa, Arthropoda, Insecta, Coleoptera, Tenebrionidae. The record is from RefSeq and is a predicted model, not a curated record. The transcript is spliced from 4 exons.
GAUAACGAAAUCCGCGAUUAGAUUAGCAAUAUUAUCGAACUUCUGUCGCGACUUUUACAAUAAUACGACGUACACCGGCUUCCGGUUCUUCCUCUUUAAAAAAAACACAAAAAAGUUGUUAAAAUGCCUGAGUAUGAACGUUUGGACGGAAAUUCUGGGUGCAUGGCCAGUUGGAGGGCCUUUACUGCUAUGGAAAAGAAAUUAACAAUCUUGACCGUUAUUUUGGAAAUUGUUAUUUUUGCGCUGGCUUUGGCUUUGGCCACGCAUAAAUGCCACGAACCUGAUCCUAUAACGACUGUUCCACCCACAAUUUCAACUUCUACAAGCUCUGUAAAACCAACAUCUUCGUCUACAAAAAGCACCAGCACCGUAACACCAUCGCCCACAAACAGCACUAGUUCUAGUUCCAGCUCUGUAACACCAUCAACUACAAAAGGCACAACUUCUAGCACCAGCUCUGUAACACCAUCACCUACAAACAGCACAAGUUCUAGUUCCAGUUCUGUAACACCAUCACCUACAAACAGCACAAGUUCCAGUUCUGUUACACCUACUACUACUAAACCAUCAUCUUCGACAAAAAGUACCAAUACUACCCUUUAACUCAAUGGCAUGUGUUAAAUUUAACAAGAAUUUCCUAAUAUUUUUCUGUAGUUUUUAAACUUUAAACUAAAUCUUUAUAUUAGGCUUAAGAUUGGUGCAAUUAUUGAUAACUAUUUCAAACCUUAAUGGUGAUGAUGUUCUGAGUUUUCUACGAUGCUAAGUUUGUAAAUCUUAUUGAUCUUUUUAAAAGCAUUUAUUUAACUUACUCUGUUGUCUGUCUGUCUGCUUUCAUUUUUUCGGAGCCAAAUUUGAAAGAGUUCCAGUUGUCCCAACGAUUUGAAAUUUUGUAUACUUACUUAAUCUGCGUGACAAUGCAAUCCUAUGUAGUUAAAUACCCCAUAAGAAGGUUAAAAGGGAUUUUGAAGUUAUAGCUUAUGUUUACAAAGGUUUUCGAUGUGUACAUAACGUAACUUAUACCAACAUUAACGGUAUGUUGGUGAUUGGGAAAUAUAUUAAUACCUAAUCAUUUUCAUUACUUUUUGUUACAAACAAAUGUCGCUAUUUUUUUUAGUUUAUUUAUCUUGGACGAUAAAGUAUAGACACAGAACAGAGGUUACGAUGUGCUUUCAAUGCUAACAGCUGUUUUCUAUCAGAUACCAAUAAAGAAGUUUGCACAAAAUAAUGGUGUUACAGUAAUACUGCGAUACUAAAUCUCAGAGAAAAAAACAUUUAGAAUCACUAAAGACUAAAAAACAAUAAAUAAAAAUAUAAAAAAUGUUUUAAAAAAAAAAGAUUUUUUUUAAAAGGUGCAGGUUUUUCCUCUUAUAGAAAACCUUUAUUUUUUACUUCUUAGUGCAUCUUUUAGAUAAAAGCUUUUCUCUAAAAAAAAUUUUUUUAAGAGUAGGUAUUACAAACUAUAAACUAUAGUUUUAUACAAUUAAUAAAAGACUACAAAGAAUAUAUACCUAACAACUAGUUUUAGUUCUGGUUUAAAAAAAAUAGUUUUUUGUCACGUCGAGUUUCGUAGAACCACUGUAUACGUUUUUCAGGUUUCCCUGAAAGUUCUGUAAUUAAAUGCAAGUUCUAGGUUUCAACAAAGCAUCUCUACUCAAAACAACUCUGCGAAGGUGUACGUCUUUAUACCGCCUCGUGUUUGAUGUUUUUCAACGGGAAAUUUAAGCUUUGAAAAUUCAGGAUUAAGCUCCGCAAACUGGAUUAUAAAAAAUGUUGCGUUAUCUGUUAUUACCUGAGUACAAGUCGAUAACAACGUAACUUUCUCUCA